This 532-nucleotide ribosomal RNA is filed under the name uncultured bacterium. RNAcentral's name for it is "bacterial SSU rRNA". It matches the Rfam family "Bacterial small subunit ribosomal RNA", at positions 852 to 1385 of the family's 1533-position model. The record is from RNAcentral.
CUAACGCGUUAAGUCUACCGCCUGGGGAGUACGUCCGCAAGAGUUAAACUCAAAUGAAUUGACGGGGGCCCGCACAAGCGGUGGAGCAUGUGGUUUAAUUCGAUGCAACGCGAAGAACCUUACCUCCUCUUGACAUCCAGCGAACUUCGCAGAGAUAGCUUGGUGCCUUCGGGAACGCUGAGACAGAUGCUGCAUGGCUGUCGUCAGCUCGUGUUGUGAAAUGUUGGGUUAAGUCCCGCAACGAGCGCAACCCUUAUCCUUCAUUGCCAGCGAUUCGGUCGGGAACUCAAAGAAGCCGCCCGGUAAUAAACCGGAGGAAGGUGGGGAUAACGUCAAGUCAUCAGGGCCUUUACGAGUAGGGCUACACACUUGUUACAAGGGCGCAUACAAAGUGAAGCGACCUAUCGAGAGCAACCGGACCUAAUAAAAUGCGUUCUAGUCCGGUUCGGAGUUUGCAACUCGACUCCCUGAAGUCGGAAUCCUUCGUAUUCGCGGACAUGAAUGCCACGGUGAAUACGUUCCCGGUCCUGUA